GGAGGAAAAGAAACCAACAGGGAUUGCCCUAGUAACGGCGAGUGAAGCGGCAACAGCUCAAAUUUGAAAUCUGGCCUCGGCCCGAGUUGUAAUUUGCAGAGGAUGCUUCUGGCGCGGUGCCUUCCGAGUUCCCUGGAACGGGACGCCACAGAGGGUGAGAGCCCCGUAUGGUCGGACACCAAGCCUGUGUGAAGCUCCUUCGACGAGUCGAGUAGUUUGGGAAUGCUGCUCUAAAUGGGAGGUAAAUCUCUUCUAAAGCUAAAUACCGGCCAGAGACCGAUAGCGCACAAGUAGAGUGAUCGAAAGAUGAAAAGCACCUUGAAAAGGGGGUUAAAUAGUACGUGAAAUUGUUGAAAGGGAAGCACUUGUGACCAGACUUGGGCCGGGCGGCUCAUCAGGGGUUCUCCCCUGUGCACUCCGCCCGGCACAGGCCAGCAUCGGUUUUCGCGGGGGGAUAAGACCGCCGGGAACGUAGCACCCUCCGGGGUGUGUUAUAGCCCGGCGGACGAUACCCCCGCGGGGACCGAGGUCCGCGCUCCGCAAGGAUGCUGGCGUAAUGGUCACCAGUGACCCGUCUUGAAACACGGACCAAGGAGUCGUCCAUUAGAGCGAGCGUUUGGGUGUAAAACCCGCACGCGUAAUGAAAGUGAACGCAGGUGAGAGCUUCGGCGCAUCAUCGACCGAUCCUGAUGUUCUCGGAAGGAUUUGAGUAAGAGUUUUAACGGACGGACCCGAAAGACAGUGAACUAUGCUUGUAUAGGGUGAAGCCAGAGGAAACUCUGGUGGAGGCUCGCAGCGGUUCUGACGUGCAAAUCGAUCGUCAAAUAUGAGCAUGGGGGCGAAAGACUAAUCGAACUGUCUAGUAGCUGGUUACCGCCGAAGU
This 883-nucleotide ribosomal RNA is filed under the name Phaeocytostroma ambiguum. RNAcentral's name for it is "eukaryotic LSU rRNA". It matches the Rfam family "Eukaryotic large subunit ribosomal RNA", at positions 52 to 967 of the family's 3401-position model. The record is from RNAcentral. Lineage: Eukaryota; Fungi; Ascomycota; Sordariomycetes; Diaporthales; Diaporthaceae.